This 30-nucleotide small RNA is filed under the name Bombyx mori (domestic silkworm). Its description in RNAcentral is "ovarian small RNA-32062". Lineage: Eukaryota; Metazoa; Arthropoda; Insecta; Lepidoptera; Bombycidae. The record is from RNAcentral.
UGACUUCUUAUCGCGGGCCCUACCCGUAGC